GGCGCUGUAGCUCAGUGGCAGAGCGGGGGACUCAUAAGCCCUAGGUCACUGGUUCAAAUCCAGUCAGCGCCACCA
This 75-nucleotide transfer RNA is filed under the name Anaerolineales bacterium. RNAcentral describes it as "tRNA-Met". It matches the Rfam family "tRNA". From Rfam's summary of the family: Transfer RNA (tRNA) molecules are approximately 80 nucleotides in length. The record is from RNAcentral. RNAcentral also lists the same sequence under 1 other name. Lineage: Bacteria; Bacillati; Chloroflexota; Anaerolineae; Anaerolineales.